AACGCACCUUGCACUCCUUGGUAUUCCGAGGAGUAUGCCUGUUCGAGUGUCAUGAAACUCUCAAACCUCAUCUUCAUUGAUGACGGGCUUGGAUUUGGACGCUUGCUGGACUUAUGGUUCGGCUCGUCUUGAAUACAUUAGCUGACGAUUUCGACUUCAGUUAAACCGUGUGAUAAUACAUCAACGCGGGCAGCCGUCAAAAGCGCUGGGUCGUCAUUCGAAGGCUUCUAAUCGUCCUUUACGGGACCGCCUUUACUGGUGUUUCAUUUCACAUCUGGCCUCGAAUCAGGUAGGACUACCCGCUGAACUUAA
Molecule: unclassified non-coding RNA, 312 nt
Filed under: uncultured fungus
Lineage: Eukaryota; Fungi
Description: partial contains 5.8S ribosomal RNA, internal transcribed spacer 2, and large subunit ribosomal RNA
Source: RNAcentral